GGAUUGUGGCUCAGAGGUAGAGCGCUCGCCUAGCAAGCGUGAGGCACUGGGUUCGAUCCUUAGCACCA
Molecule: transfer RNA, 68 nt
Filed under: Marmota monax (woodchuck)
Lineage: Eukaryota; Metazoa; Chordata; Mammalia; Rodentia; Sciuridae
Description: tRNA.Ala
Rfam family: tRNA (bases 5-65)
About the family: Transfer RNA (tRNA) molecules are approximately 80 nucleotides in length. Their secondary structure includes four short double-helical elements and three loops (D, anti-codon, and T loops). Further hydrogen bonds mediate the characteristic L-shaped molecular structure. tRNAs have two regions of fundamental functional importance: the anti-codon, which is responsible for specific mRNA codon recognition, and the 3' end, to which the tRNAs corresponding amino acid is attached (by aminoacyl-tRNA synthetases). tRNAs cope with the degeneracy of the genetic code in two manners: having more than one tRNA (with a specific anti-codon) for a particular amino acid; and 'wobble' base-pairing, i.e. permitting non-standard base-pairing at the 3rd anti-codon position.
Source: RNAcentral